CAGUCAAGUGGGCACUUUCUCAUCUCCAUCUUCCCUUAUUAGCCAUUGUUUCCAUUUUCUCUAAUUAAAACAAUAUUUUGGUUAAUUUGGUGAAUGAACUAAUUGUGCUCUUGAAUCAGGAGUUCUCUCCUUUCCUCCUUGGAAGGGCUUCUCUGUCUUUCCAGAAUGUUUUUCCUGAGAACUUUUCAUUUCUCUUGAGUUAAAUUUCCGGGUAAAAUCGUGGGCCUUGGAAACCCCACCUCAUCCAGUCAGCCAGCGUUCCCUAAGGACGUAUUGGGGGAAGCACAGGAGAUAAAAAGGAAGGCAAAUACAUCACCUGCAUCCUCAAGGAGCUCAGUUCUUUGGGGGGAGACAUGGCAAUAAAUAGAUGAAUACCCAAGGCAGACCUAAGAGAGGAAGAUAACAGAAAACCCCAUUGGGAAUCCAGGUUCCUGUUCUGGGUCCAGUCUCCUGCAGAGGUGCAUCCUCCUUCCUGGGUCAAUGCUGAUGUCCAUAUAGAUGGAGCACUGUGGGCAAUUCUGGAAGCCACAUUUUGGGAAACCAUUUGGAAGAAGGGACAAGGAAGGCAAAAGUCUACAGAACCAUGUCAUCUGAGAAAAUGGGGUUAUUUGGCUCAAGAUCAAGCAUAGUUUUGUGACGGGAAUUGUGCAAAUGUUCUCCCGUGUGAUCCUCACAGUAACCCUAGGAGUGGGAGUGAAUCAGUUCAACAUGUCACAUGUCCUCUCUCACUGGAAGUCUCCAACUAGAGGCUGAGUGUUCAGACCAUGUAAAGGCCCCCACAACCAUCCCUGAGAGGAGAAUUCAUUGUGGAAAAGAUGCCUGCCUUCCUCAUCACGACUACCAUCAACUGCCAGCCAACCAUCAUCUGUAGAAAUAUGAACACAAGGAGCCUGACAGGGGCAGGACCCUUGAGGUAGGUGGUCUUUCUUCCAGCUCGGUCCUCACAGCUAACAUUUUGGGAAGCAAUUCUUGUGGAGAAAGAGUGAGCCAUCCUGCACAACUGCCAACCAGUUGAUACUCACUGGGCAGGAAAGCUAGGCUGGUUGAAAUAGGAAGGUCCCCUGACAAACAACAGGUACUAGCUGGUGCCAGGACAAUCAACCCAAGCAGCUCAAGGCUCUGGAGCCUUGGGAGAAAUUAUCUCUGUUAAGAUAGAGCCUGGCAAUUGAUCCUGAAUGUGCCAUAACCACAGCUAACCCCAAAAGAAAAGUUCUUGCGCCAAGAUCCUUGACACUGACAAAUGGUUCAACAUAAGGAACUUCUGUGAUUUUAUCAGAAGAGAUGACAUUUGAAGAAAAGGCACCGUCAUUAGCUUUGCCUCUGUACUCCAAGGAUCCCGGGAUGUUUCCAUAUGACUUCUAGCUGAAACCUCCUCUCUCCUUCUUUUCUCCCAUUAAAAUAAGAACUUCCA
Sarcophilus harrisii (Tasmanian devil) is the source of this 1411-nucleotide long non-coding RNA. RefSeq lists it as uncharacterized. The transcript has 4 exons. NCBI's taxonomy places the organism in Eukaryota, Metazoa, Chordata, Mammalia, Dasyuromorphia, Dasyuridae. The record is from RefSeq and is a predicted model, not a curated record.